RNAcentral lists this ribosomal RNA (494 nucleotides) under uncultured bacterium. RNAcentral's name for it is "partial 16S ribosomal RNA". It matches the Rfam family "Bacterial small subunit ribosomal RNA", at positions 28 to 507 of the family's 1533-position model. The record is from RNAcentral.
GACGAACGCUGGCGGCGUGCUUAACACAUGCAAGUCGAACGGUGAAGCGCCUUCCUUUUUGGUGGGUGUGGAUGAGUGGCGAACGGGUGAGUAACACGUGAGUAACCUGCCCCCUUCUUCUGGAUAACCGCAUGAAAGUGUGGCUAAUACGGGAUAUUCUGGGUCUGUCGCAUGAUGGGUCUGGGAAAGAUAUUGUUUCGGUGGGGGAUGGGCUCGCGGCCUAUCAGCUUGUUGGUGGGGUGAUGGCCUACCAAGGCGGUGACGGGUAGCCGGCCUGAGAGGGUGGACGGUCACGCUGGGACUGAGACACGGCCCAGACUCCGACGGGAGGCAGCAGUGGGGAAUAUUGCACAAUGGGCGCAAGCCUGAUGCAGCGACGCCGCGUGAGGGAUGGAGGCCUUCGGGUUGUGAACCUCUUUCGCCAGUGAAGCAGGCCUGCCUCGUUUGUGGGUGGGUUGACGGUAGCUGGAUAAGAAGCGCCGGCUAACUACGUG